GACAGAGGGUGCAAACGUUGUUCGGAAUUACUGGGCGUAAAGCGCGUGUAGGCGGCUAAGUAAGUCGGGCGUGAAAUCCCACGGCUCAACCGUGGAAGUGCACUCGAAACUGCAUAGCUAGAGUCCUGGAGAGGAAGGUGGAAUGCUUGGUGUAGAGGUGAAAUUCGUAGAUAUCAAGCGGAACACCGGUGGCGAAGGCGGCCUUCUGGGACAGUGACUGACGCUGAGACGCGAAAGCGUGGGGAGCAAACAGG
RNAcentral lists this ribosomal RNA (254 nucleotides) under uncultured bacterium. Its description in RNAcentral is "partial 16S ribosomal RNA". It matches the Rfam family "Bacterial small subunit ribosomal RNA", at positions 524 to 776 of the family's 1533-position model. The record is from RNAcentral.